GAGUUUACAACUCCCAAACCCAAUGUGAACGUUACCAAACUGUUGCCUCGGCGGGGUCACGCCCCGGGUGCGUAAAAGCCCCGGAACCAGGCGCCCGCCGGAGGAACCAACCAAACUCUUUCUGUAGUCCCCUCGCGGACGUAUUUCUUACAGCUCUGAGCAAAAAUUCAAAAUGAAUCAAAACUUUCAACAACGGAUCUCUUGGUUCUGGCAUCGAUGAAGAACGCAGCGAAAUGCGAUAAGUAAUGUGAAUUGCAGAAUUCAGUGAAUCAUCGAAUCUUUGAACGCACAUUGCGCCCGCCAGUAUUCUGGCGGGCAUGCCUGUCCGAGCGUCAUUUCAACCCUCGAACCCCUCCGGGGGAUCGGCGUUGGGGAUCGGGACCCCUCACCGGGUGCCGGCCCUGAAAUACAGUGGCGGUCUCGCCGCAGCCUCUCCUGCGCAGUAGUUUGCACAACUCGCACCGGGAGCGCGGCGCGUCCACGUCCGUAAAACACCCAACUUCUGAAAUGUUGACCUCGGAUCAGGUAGGAAUACCCGCUGAACUUAAGCAUAUCAAUAAGCGGAAG
This 567-nucleotide ribosomal RNA is filed under the name Trichoderma hamatum. RNAcentral describes it as "eukaryotic LSU rRNA". The stretch from base 182 to 335 matches the Rfam family "5.8S ribosomal RNA". Lineage: Eukaryota; Fungi; Ascomycota; Sordariomycetes; Hypocreales; Hypocreaceae. The record is from RNAcentral.